UGACGGUCAUAUCACAUUGAAACACCGAUUCCCGUACAAUCAUCGAAGUUAAGCAAUGUCGAAAUCGUUCAGUAUCUAAAUAGGUGACCGCUUGAGAAUACCAGGUGUUGUAA
Acanthosepion pharaonis is the source of this 113-nucleotide non-coding RNA. NCBI's taxonomy places the organism in Eukaryota, Metazoa, Mollusca, Cephalopoda, Sepiida, Sepiidae. The record is from the annotation of a GenBank genome assembly.